Molecule: ribosomal RNA, 253 nt
Filed under: uncultured bacterium
Lineage: Bacteria
Description: partial 16S ribosomal RNA
Rfam family: Bacterial small subunit ribosomal RNA
Source: RNAcentral
GACGGAGGGGGCUAGCGUUGUUCGGAUUGACUGGGCGUAAAGGGCGCGUAGGCCGUUUACCAAGUCAGGCGUGAAAGCCUCGGGCUUAACCCGAGAAUUGCGUUUGAUACUGGUAGACUAGAGUGCGAGAGAGGAAAGUGGAAUUCCUAGUGUAGAGGUGAAAUUCGUAGAUAUUAGGAGGAACACCAGAGGCGAAGGCGGCUUUCUGGCUCGCUACUGACGCUGAGGCGCGAAAGCGUGGGGAGCAAACAGG